RNAcentral lists this ribosomal RNA (320 nucleotides) under uncultured bacterium. RNAcentral's name for it is "bacterial SSU rRNA". It matches the Rfam family "Bacterial small subunit ribosomal RNA", at positions 660 to 977 of the family's 1533-position model. The record is from RNAcentral.
AGCGGAAUUUCUGGUGUAGCGGUGAAAUGCGUAGAUAUCAGAAGGAAGGCCGGUGGCGAAGGCGGCUUCCUGGAACAGUCCUGACACUGAGAGACGAAAGCGUGGGGAGCAAACAGGAUUAGAUACCCUGGUAGUCCACGCCCUAAACGAUGGGUACUAAGUGUGGAGGGGUUAAACCCUCCGUGCCGCAGCAAACGCAGUAAGUACCCCGCCUGGGGAGUACCGGCCGCAAGGUUGAAACUCAAAAGGAAUUGACGGGGGCCCGCACAAGCGGUGGUGCAUGGUGGUUUAAUUCGACGCAACGCGAGGAACCUUACCUA